GACGAACGCUGGCGGCGUGCUUAACACAUGCAAGUCGAGCGGAAAGGCCCUUCGGGGUACUCGAGCGGCGAACGGGUGAGUAACACGUGAGUAACCUGCCCUAGGCUUUGGGAUAACCCUCGGAAACGGGGGCUAAUACCGGAUAUGACUACUGGCCGCAUGGUUGGUGGUGGAAAGUUUUUCGGCCUGGGAUGGACUCGCGGCCUAUCAGCUUGUUGGUGGGGUGAUGGCCUACCAAGGCGACGACGGGUAGCCGGCCUGAGAGGGCGACCGGCCACACUGGGACUGAGACACGGCCCAGACUCCUACGGGAGGCUG
This 318-nucleotide ribosomal RNA is filed under the name uncultured Actinomycetes bacterium. RNAcentral describes it as "bacterial SSU rRNA". It matches the Rfam family "Bacterial small subunit ribosomal RNA", at positions 28 to 351 of the family's 1533-position model. Lineage: Bacteria; Bacillati; Actinomycetota; Actinomycetes. The record is from RNAcentral.